UACGUAGGGGGCGAGCGUUGUCCGGAAUUAUUGGGCGUAAAGAGCGUGUAGGCUGUUCGGUAAGUCUGCCGUGAAAACCUGAGGCUCAACCUCGGGCGUGCGGUGGAUACUGCCGGGCUAGAGGACGGUAGAGGCGAGUGGAAUUCCCGGUGUAGCGGUGAAAUGCGCAGAUAUCGGGAGGAACACCAGCGGCGAAGGCGGCGCUCUGGGCUGGAACUGACGCUGAGGAGCGAAAGCGUGGGGAGCGAACAGG
Molecule: ribosomal RNA, 253 nt
Filed under: uncultured bacterium
Lineage: Bacteria
Description: partial 16S ribosomal RNA
Rfam family: Bacterial small subunit ribosomal RNA
Source: RNAcentral